CUAGAAGAGAAACAGGAGCUACACAGUAGUACUGUAUGUUUGAGGUAAUCUAGAAGAGAAACAGGAGCUACACAGUCGUACCGUAUGUUUGAGGUAAUAUUCUAGAAGAGAAACAGGAGCUACACAGUCGUACCGUAUGUUUGAGGUAAUAUUCUAGAAGAGAAACAGGAGCUACACAGUCGUACCGUAUGUUUGAGGUAAUAUUCUAGAAGAGAAACAGGAGCUACACAGUCGUACCGUAUGUUUGAGGUAAUAUUCUAGAAGAGAAACAGGAGCUACACAGUCGUACCGUAUGUUUGAGGUAAUAUUCUAGAAGAGAAACAGGAGCUACACAGUCGUACCGUAUGUUUGAGGUAAUAUUCUAGAAGAGAAACAGGAGCUACACAGUCGUACCGUAUGUUUGAGGUAAUAUUCUAGAAGAGAAACAGGAGCUACACAGUCGUACCGUAUGUUUGAGGUAAUAUUCUAGAAGAGAAACAGGAGCUCCACAGUAGUACUGUAUGUUUGAGGUAAUAUUCUAGAAGAGAAACAGGAGCUACACAGUAGUACUGUAUGUUUGAGGUAGUAUUCUAGAAGAGAAACAGGAGCUACACAUUCGUACCGUAUGUUUGAGGUAAUCUAGAAGAGAAACAGGAGCUACACAGUAGUACUGUAUGUUUGAGGUAGUAUUCUAGAAGAGAAACAGGAGCUACACAGUAGUACUGUAUGUUUGAGGUAAUAUUCUAGAAGAGAAACAGGAGCUCCACAGUCGUACCGUAUGUUUGAGGUAAUCUAGAAGAGAAACAGGAGCUACACAGUAGUACUGUAUGUUUGAGGUAGUAUUCUAGAAGAGAAACAGGAGCUACACAGUCGUACCGUAUGUUUGAGGUAAUCUAGAAGAGAAACAGGAGCUACACAGUAGUACCGUAUGUUUGAGGUAAUCUAGAAGAGAAACAGGAGCUACACAGUAGUACCGUAUGUUUGAGGUAAUCUAGAAGAGAAACAGGAGCUACACAGUAGUAUUGUAUGUUUGAGGUAGUAUUCUAGAAGAGAAACAGGAGCUACACAGUCGUACCGUAUGUUUGAGGUAUUCUAGAAGAGAAACAGGAGCUACACAGUCGUACCGUAUGUUUGAGGUAAUCUAGAAGAGAAACAGGAGCUCAAGGAGUAGAACAUUUGAGUUGCCGGUACACCGCUCCUGCCUAAGUCAAGCACUGUGUGUGUGUGUGUGUGUGUGUGUGUGUGUGUGUGUGUGUGUGUGUGUGUGUGUGUGUGUGUGUGUGUGUG
Oncorhynchus keta (chum salmon) is the source of this 1266-nucleotide long non-coding RNA. RefSeq lists it as uncharacterized. The record is from RefSeq and is a predicted model, not a curated record. The transcript has 3 exons. Lineage: Eukaryota; Metazoa; Chordata; Actinopteri; Salmoniformes; Salmonidae.